This 253-nucleotide ribosomal RNA is filed under the name uncultured bacterium. Its description in RNAcentral is "partial 16S ribosomal RNA". It matches the Rfam family "Bacterial small subunit ribosomal RNA", at positions 524 to 776 of the family's 1533-position model. The record is from RNAcentral.
CACGUAGGGCGCAAGCGUUGUCCGGAAUUAUUGGGCGUAAAGAGCUCGUAGGUGGUUUGCUGCGUCCGCUGUGAAAACCCAAGGCUUAACCUUGGGCUUGCAGUGGAUACGGGCAGACUAGAGGUAGGUAGGGGAGAAUGGAAUUCCUGGUGUAGCGGUGAAAUGCGCAGAUAUCAGGAGGAACACCGGUGGCGAAGGCGGUUCUCUGGGCCUGUACUGACGCUGAGGAGCGAAAGCGUGGGGAGCGAACAGG